This 120-nucleotide unclassified non-coding RNA is filed under the name Escherichia coli IAI1. Its description in RNAcentral is "CrpTic". The record is from RNAcentral. RNAcentral also lists the same sequence under 5 other names. Lineage: Bacteria; Pseudomonadati; Pseudomonadota; Gammaproteobacteria; Enterobacterales; Enterobacteriaceae.
CUGACUGUUUUAGCAUAGCUUUCGCUUUGUGUCUCCUGGUGUCUCGCUUCAGCAUGACCCAGGUCGCCUUCCGUUGCGCGAUUUGGUUAGUACGCGUACUCUGUCAGGAAAAUUGACGCA